Molecule: ribosomal RNA, 667 nt
Filed under: Streptomyces spongiae
Lineage: Bacteria; Bacillati; Actinomycetota; Actinomycetes; Kitasatosporales; Streptomycetaceae
Description: bacterial SSU rRNA
Rfam family: Bacterial small subunit ribosomal RNA
Source: RNAcentral
ACGGCUAAGGGUGAGUAAACGUGGGCAAUCUGCCCUUCACUCUGGGACAAGCCCUGGAAACGGGGUCUAAUACCGGAUACCACUUCCACUCGCAUGGGUGGGGGUUGAAAGCUCCGGCGGUGAAGGAUGAGCCCGCGGCCUAUCAGCUUGUUGGUGAGGUAAUGGCUCACCAAGGCGACGACGGGUAGCCGGCCUGAGAGGGCGACCGGCCACACUGGGACUGAGACACGGCCCAGACUCCUACGGGAGGCAGCAGUGGGGAAUAUUGCACAAUGGGCGAAAGCCUGAUGCAGCGACGCCGCGUGAGGGAUGACGGCCUUCGGGUUGUAAACCUCUUUCAGCAGGGAAGAAGCGAAAGUGACGGUACCUGCAGAAGAAGCGCCGGCUAACUACGUGCCAGCAGCCGCGGUAAUACGUAGGGCGCGAGCGUUGUCCGGAAUUAUUGGGCGUAAAGAGCUCGUAGGCGGCUUGUCACGUCGGGUGUGAAAGACCGGGGCUUAACUCCCGUUCUGCAUUCGAUACGGGCUAGCUAGAGUGUGGUAGGAGAGAUCUCAAUUCCUAGUGUAGCGAUGAGAUGCGCAGAUGUGGGGAGGAACGGGGGUGACGAAGGCGGAUCUGUGUGCCAGUGCUGAGGAUGAGAAGGAGAGGGGCAGGAGGAAAACAUUAA